CAAUGAUUAAGUCAGUCGUCUUCACAGAUUGUGUUACACAUGCAUCGGGAACACACAAGAGUUAAGAUUUGACAAUUGUUGCUGUGAAAACCACUGAUUCUUUGAGUGGUUACUUCACAACAAGAGGCCAGCCUGUGUGGCUAUCUACUGAAAGAACCGAAUUCCAUUAUAUUAAUUUACUUGAGUACAUCGAGUCAUCGACGAUGUUGUGAAUAAUUGGGAGGAAUGUUUAUUCAUAUAUUCAAUUCUGCUCGACGGAUUUCUUCAGUAAGCUAUUGCAGUUACAAAGGAAAUCCGUUGGGCAGAACUGAAUAUAUGAAUAAUCACAUCCCCAAUUAUCCUCCCAGUUUCGGCCCUGACCACUGGGUCGAGACAUUCCUGCUCCUCAUUCGAUACUUCGAACGCGAAAUGACGUCAUUCAUGAUCAAAGCAGCGCGGCCUCUCUUUUUGUAAAUCAUGGAUGGAAGUCUCUCACUUCGCCCAGUCUCAGUGUCAUACAUGAUGACGUCAUUUAAUGCCUGAUCAUUCUUAUCCUGACCGCCAAUAACGAUAAUCAUAUUAGCCCAAGUGACUGUGGACAUGACACUGUGGGUGUGAGGGCAGGAAAUUGAUCUCGCUUGUCUGCGUAGACAGUUGUUGCAGUGGUACUGUAAGAUCCUUGUGCCAAAGAUCAAAUUCCCUCAAGCUUAUGGCGUGACUAGCAAGCAAGUCAGAGUGAAGUGAAGGACAGUAUAAAAGAGUUAAGAAAGCAGUUUCAGAAAAUAAUGAUGAUGAUGAUGAACCAAGCAUUUCAAGGAAAUAAUUCAAACAAGGAUGAUGUUGUGAGUUACAAUGGAACAAGAAUUACAACAUAGGAGAAGAAAAGUCAACUCCGCAUCAUCCUCGAGGAGCAUCAGCAUCGUGUGUUUACAACAAUGUAAUGGUAUAUUCCUUGUCAAAUUUAUCAUUAUAUAUAAUAGGAGGAUAUGACUGGAAUGAAAGAAAAACAUCGAAUGCCAUUUAUGAGAUUGCUCUUACCUCACCUUAUACUGCCAAGCUGCUGACGAGAAUGACUGAGCCAAGAAGGAAUCACGAAGCAGAACAAUGACUCGGUUACAUAUUAGUCAUGUCCAUCGUUACCUCAGCCUGUUAGUGACAUAUCCGCAGACACUUGGGCUAAUAUGAUCAUUGUUUUGGCGGUGAGGAUAAGAGUGAUCAGACAAUAAAUGACGUCAUCAGUAUGGACACGGAGGCUGGACGAAGUGAGAGACUUCGACCCAUGAUUUACAAAAGGAGCGGCUGCUCUGCUGUCAUCAUAAAUGACGUAAUUGUCCUUUUUAGAGGACGGGAUAAGCAGGAGGGAUAUCUCAACUCAGUGGGAUCUUUCACCACUGGUGGUUAUGCCCUCAAAGAACUGCCAGGAAUAAUAAGGAAGAUAAAUCUUAAACCUGCAAUUAAACCGCUGUAGAUAACGUACCAAGGUAUACACCUUAUAUAGAAUUAUAUCGUAAAGUUGGGCAUAAAUGUCCUUUUAUGAAAUUGAAUCAUUUAAGACCGUUAAAUUUGCGAAUAGAAGAGUAACAAAGAACACUCGUCACAGAUAAAAUAACGAACAAUGAAUUUUUUAAAUAUGCCCAAAGACAUGUAUAUUUGCUCAAAAAACAAUAUAAGCCAGCUAUUAAUACCAUCACAAUGUAUUAAAGCAUU
RNAcentral lists this long non-coding RNA (1686 nucleotides) under Dendronephthya gigantea. Its description in RNAcentral is "uncharacterized LOC114534897". The record is from RNAcentral. Lineage: Eukaryota; Metazoa; Cnidaria; Anthozoa; Malacalcyonacea; Nephtheidae.